Molecule: long non-coding RNA, 1072 nt
Organism: Rhododendron vialii
Lineage: Eukaryota; Viridiplantae; Streptophyta; Magnoliopsida; Ericales; Ericaceae
Exons: 2
Source: RefSeq, a predicted model, not a curated record
UCGUAUCCGAGGGUAAAGAUUUCUGGGUUGCUAGAUAGUAUAGCAAGUAACUUGGGCCGAAAAAUGAGUUUGGAGUAAGAAUCACAGUUCAUGAAUUUCAACUCCUUGUGGCCCCCAAACAACAUCUUCAGCCGAUUGAUCGUUACGUGCCUUCUUUGGAAUCGACCGCCUCACCGAUUCGAGGAGUUAUGGCUAGUUAAACAGAGGAGGAGAGAGAGAGAGAGAAAGAGAGAGAACGGUGUGGACGCGUUAAAAUUUGCGUGGGAAAAAUUCUUCUGACAGCGUCGAGGGUGCGAAAAUUGUUGGAUCUUAAUUACUCGGUUUGGAGGACCAAAAAGAAAAUUACUCGGUUUAGUUGUGAAAAAGGAAGUGAAAAGUACUACUUUGUAAGGAAAAUGGGAGAAACGAAAGGGGAAAAUUUAACAAACUCCUGGAACAAAAAGUUUACAAAAAAUGCUAGAAACAAAGAAAAUUUAUUCUGAAAGUGGCUCAAAAAGAUCAAUUAGUGGUUAAAAUUCAUUUGUUGUAUGAAAUCCAAUUAUCAAAGUGAAUCUCAACCACUGAUUAUUUUUUCGAAAGACUUUCGAAAUAAAUUUUCUUUGUAUCUAACAUUAAAGUUUCCAUUUUCGCUUCUUCUCUCUCUCAAACCAAACGAGGGAAGAGAAUUUUUUUCAACUCUCUCUUCUUUUUCCUUUCCUUUCUGCACGUUCCAAAGAAAAAGGCUCCGUCUUCCCUCGUUUGAUUUGGUUUGGUUUCAGAACCAUAUAUUCAACUUUUCUCUAAUUUCUCUUUGAACUUUCCCCCUCAUUUCCUUUUCUUUGCUCGAGUUCCAAACAGAGCUUAGGGAAAGGAAAAGACAGUUCUCCUCGUUUCAUUUGAAAAGAAAGUGUGAAAAAAAAAUUAAACAAAAUUUCGAGCAGAACACAUUUUUCGCACACUUUCUUUCUUAACAAUUCUUAUUUUCCUUUUCUUUCCAUGAGUUCCAAAUGGAUCCUAAAGGAAAAGUGAUUAUGAGAGGAAUUUUAAGGAAAAAUAUCAUGAUUAUGGGGUCUUGGAGAGAUUAUUCAGUGCA